Neofelis nebulosa (Clouded leopard) is the source of this 2592-nucleotide long non-coding RNA. RefSeq lists it as uncharacterized. The transcript is spliced from 5 exons. The record is from RefSeq and is a predicted model, not a curated record. Lineage: Eukaryota; Metazoa; Chordata; Mammalia; Carnivora; Felidae.
UCAGGAGCGCGGAACGGAGUAUAGGCCCCGUUCCUAAAGGCUAGUGCCAGGCCCAUGCAGGGAAUGCGCCAGGUGGACAGUCUGGGAAGGACUGGGGAACAGAGGAAGGAGCCCUGCCUGGAGAUCCACGAACGCUAGUCGUGGCCUUGGCAGCGUUGGUUCAUUCAUCCUGCACACGCCAGCGGGCACUGAGUGUGCAGAGGUGAAACAGGUUGGCCUUUGCUCUCGUGGAGCUAGGGCUCUACUACACUUGAGGACUGCAAACAAUUAGAGGGCACGUGAGAAGACAUGUGGUGUGGAAUUCUAGUAAGAAGAGUCUUGAUGGGAUUGAUAGAGACAACUCCUUAAUGAUGUUUGACCCACCUUUGAGACAAAUGGAAAGACUGGAGAUAAAUGCUGCCUGAGAGAAGAGCAUGACCAUACACAGGGCAACUCUGCAGCUGAUGGACUCACAGGGGGCUGGGGGCUGUCUGCAGACCAUUCUCUCCCUUGACUGAGGGGCAGGUUUUCCUUGAAGAGGGAUCUUGGUGACACAUCUCCACGUUCAUCAAAAUGAUCAGAAGGCUGAAUCAACAGCUCACUUGGAAUGUGAUUUAAAUGUGUGCGGUGUACAGAUAGGACCAUCAGCCAGGAGACUCCAUGCUCUUGAACCAAGGGAUGUUUCUGUUGUCCUGCGGGGGCUAAAACACAAACUACAAGCUUUGCUGAGCCCACCUUUUUCUCUCUCCAUAAGUAUGAAGAUGAGUAUCAGAAACACCAAAAAGGAGACUGUGACGCUGAUGGAAAAGCUGCUACCUGAUAUUGCUGAGUGUUGUCCUUCUGAGAAAGAAGACACAUUUACAAAAACAGCACAAAAUGUAAACUUGGAGUCCGGUUUGGGGCUAUGAGCGAUUAUUUUCAUUUCAAUGGUGUCUUGUUCACGGACUUGACUUCUUAUCAGGGGAAGUGCUCUAGUCAAAUAAAUAUCUCCAUUAGUUUUAUUUACUAAAAAGAAAGGAGAUGGAGUUUCCAAAGAGUAAAGAAUAACUCCAUCAAUACCAGCAUCUGCAUCUGAUGCUUCCACUUUGCCAAUCAACUGUCUUAUUUUAUUCUUUUCUGGAAGGUUGAAAAAAUACUGAUCUUGAGUAAAAAUGGGUUCAAACUCAUCUAUCCCUUCAAUAUCCACCCAAACCAUUAAAGAGGCUGCUGAGUCCCCUUUGUCUUUUGCCUGAACUGUGAGGCAGUAUUUAUUGUCAUUUUCAUAGUCAAGGACUUGCUUAGUGUGAAUAUCCCCUGUUAAAGGGUCAAUGAGGAAGGGAUGAUGAUCACGAGGCAUCCCAUGAGUGGUAGAACAGGGCGAUAAAAUAGAAUAGGUCAAUUCUCCAUAAGGACCUGCAUCAAAAUCCAAAGCGUUUACGGAACAUACAGUGGAGAAAACAGGGACAUUUUCAGGAACAACACAAUUUAAGUUUGAGAACAUAAACUGAGGUGCAUGGUCAUUAUCAUCCAGGACAUUGAUAAACAGAACCGCAAAAGAAAAAUGCUUCCUUUCUUCAUCUGAAGCUUGAAUAGUUAAGGUGAAUUUUGUCGUUUCUUCAUAAUCCAGAGGUUUAAUCAAAUAAAGAACUCCAGUUUUUUCUUCCAAGUGAAAAUGCCCCCUCUCAUUUCCAGAGAUGAUGUGGUAGAUGAUUUCUGCAUGUGGACCCACAUCACAGUCGUUUGCAGAGACCACAGUGAUGUGACUCCCUAGAGGGGUACUUUCCUUGACAUGGGCAUGAUAUUUCAGACUGCUGAAUUUAGGUGGAUUAUCAUUGACAUCAAGUACUUCUAUUGAUACAAUGGCCGUAGAGCUCAAUGGAGGACAGCCAUGGUCAGAUGCCACAAUGACAAGGUUAUGACUGGCAGCUACUUCUCUGUCCAGGCUACGAAGCAACACCAGGUAACCAGCUUGCUUAUAAGGAUCUUCUGAAUGAAUGAAACUAGUUUCUACAUGGAAAUUAUUCUGUGAAUUACCACUGAUGAUCGAAUAAUCAACGUAUGUGUUUUCACGGGUCCAGUCACGGUCCAUGGUUGAAAAUGUGAGAAGCGUGCCUCCAAUUUGAGCAUCUUCACUCAAGCUAAGAUUAUAAUAUUCUACUGCAAACUCAGGGGCAUAAUUGUUCGUAUCUUGUAUUUCUAUUUCUACUAAGGUAAGAGCGCUCAGGUCAGGAAUGCCACCAUCACUGGCUUCAACGAGAAACUGAAUUGUUGAUAUUUUAUCCAGAGGUAAUACAGGAUUGAUAGUAAAUAUUGUGCCUGAAAAAUAAGACAUAGCAUUUCAAUGCUGUGAAAUUAAAUUUUCAUGAUCCACUUGUCAGCAAAUAUUUAUCAAAUAUUUACUAAUGUGUUGUUUUUACUUGCUAAGUUUUGUUAUUUAAGUUACAACCAAGAGUAACUCCAAAGAGAAAUUUUAAAUUAUUGUAUUUAGACUUUUGUAACACUUGAGAUCCAGAAGUAAUACUCCUGGAAGUCACUCUAUUAAAUAUAUGUGCUGUUUGAAGAUGACUUUGCUACAAAUGUCUCUUAAUUUUAUUUUUGUAAAAUAAACUGUUCCAUUACUAUUUCUUAAGAAAA